Molecule: long non-coding RNA, 629 nt
Organism: Aquila chrysaetos chrysaetos
Lineage: Eukaryota; Metazoa; Chordata; Aves; Accipitriformes; Accipitridae
Exons: 3
Source: RefSeq, a predicted model, not a curated record
CAGCAUGACAGCAAACAGAACCUUCCCAGUUCGCACGGCGGCACAGCUUAACUGUGCCGGGAGCGUGCAGUCCUCUGUCCCAGAGAGAAUCUCAUUUCCACAAGGCACGUCCAGACGGCACCGGCCUCUGCCCAGGACUGGGGGGAGCAGAGGAUGAGGAGACCGGCAGAGAGGAAGCCGAGAGAUGCUCUGAGGAAUUCGCUCCUGCAAGAGGAUCACAUGACAGAAGCCAAAAAAGCAUUCCCCACCGGAAUGGCACUCCAAGGGCUUCAUCUGGGCUCCUCUCUGCCCGGGGAGGGAUCUUACUUGGUUUCUUCUCCCCCUGCUCUGUGCCCUGGAACCUGUAAUUCUGAAAAUAGCCGUCCCUCAGCCCCCAAACCCAGCUGGAGCGGUGAUGCGAACAGGGCUGUCAGCAUAAUGCAGAGGAACGGUGGCAAGAAAGGGAAGAGGCUACAAUAAGGUAAAUAGUCUGCACCCUCUAGCCCUCUUGUUACUGUUGGGACAUAAGCUAAACUGUUUCAGCUAAUUCAUCUUAGUCCUAGAUGCAGGGUGCGUGAAGGCAUAGCCUGAACACAGCAGAGAAACCUCUAAUAUAUGGUCUGCGCUGGUGUAACGCUAGUUGGGUGGGU